RNAcentral lists this ribosomal RNA (460 nucleotides) under uncultured bacterium. RNAcentral's name for it is "partial 16S ribosomal RNA". It matches the Rfam family "Bacterial small subunit ribosomal RNA", at positions 338 to 795 of the family's 1533-position model. The record is from RNAcentral.
CCUACGGGUGGCAGCAGUGAGGAAUAUUGGUCAAUGGACGAGAGUCUGAACCAGCCAAGUAGCGUGAAGGAUGACUGCCCUAUGGGUUGUAAACCUCUUUUGUCUGGGAACAAAAUGUUCCACGUGUGGCAUUUUGUGUGUACCAUAUGAAUAAGGAUCGGCUAACUCCGUGCCAGCAGCCGCGGUAAUACGGAGGAUCCGAGCGUUAUCCGGAUUUAUUGGGUUUAAAGGGAGCGCAGGUGGGUUGUUAAGUCAGUUGUGAAAGUUUGCGGGUCAACCGUAACAUUGCAGUUGAAACUGGCAGUCUUGAGUACAGUAGAGGUGAGCGGAAUUGGUGGUGUAGCGGUGAAAUGCUUAGAUAUCACGAAGAACUCCGAUUGCGAAGGCAGCACAAUGGCCUGCAACGGACACUGAGGCUCGAAAGUGUGGGUAUCAAACAGGAUUAGAAACCCUUGGAGUC